AGUUAAUGAGCUUGAAAUAAGCAUUUGUUUUGAAAACAUAAGAUAGAAUUUAAUUUCUAUUAACUU
This 66-nucleotide transfer RNA is filed under the name Apocephalus antennatus. RNAcentral describes it as "tRNA-Ser". It matches the Rfam family "tRNA". Rfam says of the family: Transfer RNA (tRNA) molecules are approximately 80 nucleotides in length. Their secondary structure includes four short double-helical elements and three loops (D, anti-codon, and T loops). Lineage: Eukaryota; Metazoa; Arthropoda; Insecta; Diptera; Phoridae. The record is from RNAcentral.